Molecule: long non-coding RNA, 886 nt
Filed under: Coturnix japonica (Japanese quail)
Lineage: Eukaryota; Metazoa; Chordata; Aves; Galliformes; Phasianidae
Description: lncRNA (ENSCJPG00005007632.1)
Source: RNAcentral
GUGUCUGAUUCCUGUAAACCAUUUACUUCCCCACUCAUUGUCCAAUUCUUUUUUGUCUUUCAUUCUCUAACCAUUCAUUGCCACUCAUUACCCAAUCAUCAAUCCAAUCCUAACCCUAAUCCAAUCAUUCUCUAUGUCUCAUUAUCCAUUCACUGUCACUCACUGUCCAGUUGUUUUCUGUGUCUCAUUCUGUUACCAUUCACUGCCCUUUAUUGUCCAAUCAUUCUCUAUGUAUUAUUCUCUCUCCAUUCAAUGCUACUCAUUGUCCAGCCAUUCUCUGUGUCUCAUUCUCUAUCCAUUCACUGGCACUCACUGUCCAGUUGUUUUCCGUGUCUCAUUUUCUCACCAUUCAUUGCCAUUCCUUGUCCAAUCAUUCUGUGUGUUUCAUUAUUUAACUAUUAACUGCCAUUUAGUGUGUAAUCAUUCUGUCUCAUUUUCUACCCAUUCAUUGCCAUUCAUUAUCCAAUCAUUCUCUGUCUCUCUUUAUCCAUUCUCUCCUCUUCAUUUUCCAGUCAUUCUCUGUGUCUUAUUGUGCAGCCAUUCAUUGCUUCUCCUUGUCCAAUCACUCUCUGUAUCUUAUUCUUUACCCAUUCAUUGCUACUCACUGUCCAAUUAUUCUGUCUCUCAUCCUAUAACCAUUCAUUACCACUUGUUAUCCAAUCAUUCUCUAUGUUUCAUUCUUUAACUAUUAACUCCCACUCACUGUCAAACCAUUUUACAUCGUAUUUUCUCCCUAUUCACUGCCACUCACUGUCCAAUCACUGUCUGUGUCUCAUUCUCUCAGCAGUCAGUGCCACUCACUUUCCCAUCAUUCUCUGUUAUUCUCUAACCCUUCAUUGCCAAUUCUUGUCAGUCAUCUCUGUUGUUUCAUUUUCUAUCUAUGUCA